RNAcentral lists this ribosomal RNA (246 nucleotides) under uncultured bacterium. RNAcentral describes it as "partial 16S ribosomal RNA". It matches the Rfam family "Bacterial small subunit ribosomal RNA", at positions 527 to 772 of the family's 1533-position model. The record is from RNAcentral.
AUAGGGGGCGAGCGUUAUCCGGAAUUAUUGGGUGUAAAGGGUGCGUAGACGGGAAAUUAAGUUAGUUGUGAAAUCCCUUGGCUUAACUGAGGAACUGCAACUAAAACUGAUUUUCUUGAGUAUUGGAGAGGAAAGUGGAAUUCCUAGUGUAGCGGUGAAAUGCGUAGAUAUUAGGAGGAACACCAGUGGCGAAGGCGACUUUCUGGACAAAAACUGACGUUGAGGCACGAAAGUGUGGGGAGCAAA